This is a non-coding RNA of Ictidomys tridecemlineatus (thirteen-lined ground squirrel), 72 nucleotides long. The record is from Rfam. NCBI's taxonomy places the organism in Eukaryota, Metazoa, Chordata, Mammalia, Rodentia, Sciuridae.
UGGGGUGUGGCUCAGCCAUAGAGCACUUGCCUCUCACAUGUGAGACCCUGGGUUCGAUCCUCAGCACCCCAU